CCUACGGGUGGCAGCAGUGGGGAAUAUUGCACAAUGGAGGGAACUCUGAUGCAGCGACGCCGCGUGAGUGAAGAAGUAAUUCGUUAUGUAAAGCUCUAUCAGCAGGGAAGAAAGUGACGUUACCUGAAAACGAAGCUCCGGCUAAAUACGUGCCAGCAGCCGCGGUGAUACGUAUGGAGGAAGCGUUAUCCGGGUUUACUGGUUGUAAAAGGAGAGUAGGUGGCAGAGCAAGUCCGAAGUGAAAACCCAAAGCACAAAUAUGGGAGUGCUUUAGAAACUGCUCAGCUAGAGUGCAGGAGAGGCAAGUGGAAUUCUUAGUGGAGCGGUAAAAUGCGUAGAUAUUAGGAGGAACACCAGUGGCGAAGGCGGCUUGCUGGACUGUAACUGACACUGAGGCUCGAAAGCGUGGGGAGCAAACAGGAUUAGAGACCCGGGUAGUC
RNAcentral lists this ribosomal RNA (440 nucleotides) under uncultured bacterium. RNAcentral describes it as "partial 16S ribosomal RNA". It matches the Rfam family "Bacterial small subunit ribosomal RNA", at positions 338 to 795 of the family's 1533-position model. The record is from RNAcentral.